UUUACUUUUAUUAGAA
Molecule: transfer RNA, 16 nt
Filed under: Drosophila borborema
Lineage: Eukaryota; Metazoa; Arthropoda; Insecta; Diptera; Drosophilidae
Also listed under: 2 other names
Description: partial tRNA-Leu
Source: RNAcentral